Myotis brandtii (Brandt's bat) is the source of this 4900-nucleotide long non-coding RNA. RefSeq lists it as uncharacterized. NCBI's taxonomy places the organism in Eukaryota, Metazoa, Chordata, Mammalia, Chiroptera, Vespertilionidae. The record is from RefSeq and is a predicted model, not a curated record. The transcript has 4 exons.
CCUGCCCCGCCCCAUGCCCUCCCUAACAACACGUCCUGUUCCUCUCCCUUGUUUUCUCCAGGACAGUCUCUCUGUCACCAGAUAUGUUCCUGCCUCGGAGGCCCUGGCAUCUGUCAUUUCCUCUGCCUGGAACCCACCUUCUACCAGGUAACUACAUGACUCACUUUCUCACCUUCUUUAGGAGUAGGAAGGCCUGAGCCCGGGUCUGCAGGGUAUCUGGUGGGUGGGGGAACCUGGGGAGCCUGGCAUGCCACAGGAGCAUGACAGGGACUCUUCCAAAGAACCAACCAGUGACAGUCCAGGUUCAAAGUGAUAAGGUUUCCCUUGCGACAACACGGCUGUUGGUGGUGACUUUCAACUCCUCCCAAGUGACAGAGUCCUUGAGGCCCCACACCCAGGGUUUCUACCCUCUGGUUUGAGGGGUGGGGUAGAGAAGACUUCCCUAUUACAGAUGAGAAAGCUGAAGCUCAGAGGCAUCCCAUGCCCUGCCCAAGGUCACUCCACACACUACAAGUCCAAGACAAGGAACUUUGCUUCUGUAACAGACACAGUUUCUGGGGUGGUCUCUGAGCUUGAACUGAUGCCUGGUUGACUCUAAAGCUAAUUGGCCCCCAAACCUAGCUGACCUGUCACUCAUUUUGCAUCCCUCCCAGAGCCUGGCACGUUGCUAAGUGGGUGACACCUGGUGGGCACCAUGUGACUAUUGGGUCAAGCUAUCAGGCCACAGCAGGUUGUGCUAACAAGGAUGCCCUGCAUCCCCCUAGGCUCCUCCAACUCCCAGCCGGCAGGCCUGCACCUUUUCUCCCAGCCAGCAGGGGGCGCGCGCACAUUUUUCGAGUGGCCUUCUCACCAACCUCCCCAACCGCGGUUCCCCGUUCUCCCCUCCUGUGAUUGAGCCUGUGUUAGGCGUAUAGGGGCCCUACUCAAACCAGCCUGUUUAAUGUCAGGAGCCUUCAAAUUGUGCGGUCUUCCCCAGCAGGCAGCCCUCUGGCAAUGCAUGUGAUCUCAUAUGUACUGAGUGGUUCUACACCAGGCACGUGCUAGGCACCUGACAAGCAUUAUCUCAUUUCAUCAUCUGAGAUGCUAAAAUGAUCCAUUUCACAACGGAGAACACCAAGUCGCUGGCAGGAAUAUAGCACCUUGCAUAGAGUAUUCUCAAUAAAUAUUUGGUGGACAGAAUUGAAUGUGGAUGUUGAACCUGGCUGGGCAGGGGCGAGACAUACAGGAAGUGCACGGCCUGGAGCAGGCUUCUAACGUGAAGAGGGCCUUGGAAAUGGGGCUAAGGCUGCCUUGAGUCUGCAGCUUCUGCUCCUUACCUCCUCCAGCUUCCCUCCUGGCUUGCCCGGAAGUGAGACCGCCUCUCUCACAACCCUGCCACGGGGGCCACAAUGUCCUCGCACAAACCCUGUUCCAUCCCCUGCUGCCAGGGCCGCCCACACACUGGGCGGACAUGAGUCUGGCAGACGCUGGUGUGGCUGAGCUCUCCUGGAACAGGGUCAGAAGGGCCGUGGGGCUGGCAUGGAGGGGAGCUCUGUGGCCUGGUCAGCAGGCCCCAAAGCCAGGCGGGCCGCCAGGGCCCCCAAAUGCAGGCCUUCCCAAGCUGUAGACAUCUGCGGGGGCUGGUCUGGGAAGGGACAGGCUUUGUGCUUUUCCGUCAGUUGCAGCCCCUGUUUUACUUUGUGUGGGUAUGUGAGUUCUACUUCCAAAUCUUGGCUCCUCCUGGAGCUACAAAUUACACUCUAGCCUUCAUCCUGUAGCAGGGCUUCCAUGCCCCAGGGAAGUCAGGGACCACCCCGCUUGUGCAAGUGUGGCUGCCCACAAUUAGAAAAGGCUGUGUCUAGCAGGGUUUCACUCUGACCCGGGGAAGAAAAGGCCCGAGAAGAACAAAGGAGAACCGUUGUUACGGCCUCAGAGAAGUUCCAUCAGACACUUAUUAGCGCAGUGUUUGAGUUUUAUUGUCAUCGUCAUCUUUGUUGUCAUUCCAGCACCCGCCCACCUCUGAACGGCUCUAAAUUUGACUUUAUGACUAUCUGCCACAUUCUUUGGGUCACUCACCAAGAGUUAGUCAUGCAUUCACCUCAGAUUGUCCCAGCAGGAAAGUCUUUAAUCUUUAAGAGCCUGCUGUGUUCCAGGCACUGUUAGGGACUUUGCAAACUUUGUUUUAUUUAGUCAUCACAACAACCCGGUGAGGUUCAUCUGUCAGGAUGCUUUUGGCUGCAAGUAAGAGCAGCAACCUCAGGUCCAUUGGAUUGAACCCGUGGUCCCUCACUGAACAAUGAAGGAAUUGAGGAUCGCAGGAAAUAGUCCAGAAGUGGGUGGCUCCAAAGCAGGAUAAUCCAGCUGCUGAACUGAGCUACCAAGACCCAGGUUCUUGCCAUGUUUCCAUUCUAUCAUCUUUAGGGUGUUGGCUUGAUUCUCUGAGUCGUUGUCCUCAUCACAGCAAAAUGGCUGCUGUGGCCCCCGCCAUCACUUCAGACAUCACAUCCAGCUGCUGAAGGACAGUUGUUUCUCUCAUGUUUUAAGAGCAGGAGACUAUUUCCUAGAACAACUCUCUACACACACGCCAUAAACAACCCUCUCUGCAUCUCAUUGACCAGAACGGAGUCACAGAUCUAUCCCAGAAUGAAUCACCAGCAAGGGAAACUUAUCAAGAUAAGUUUACACUGAUCAGGAUUUCUCCCACCCCACUCCAGGCACAUGGACUUCUGGAAAAAUAAUUCAGAGCACUAAGGAAGAAAGCAGUAGUGACAAUUGGAUAGCAAUCAACAAAGUCUCCCACUGAGGAAAACAGAUCAAGAAGCCUGGAGGCUGGCAAGGGUCACACAGUCACUCGAAGCUGACUUAGAAUUCAAACCCAGGCCCGUCGGAUAAGGACUCUAGUAAGGCAACCCUGAAUUCUAAUUCCAGCCAUCACUUACCAGCUGUGUAUCCUGGCACAAGUUUCUUAACCUCUCUGAGCUUUGUUUCUUCAUCUAUAAAAUGGGGACAGUAACUGAACCUUGUUCAUUAGGUGUGGAUUAGAGGAGAGGCCGCAUUAAGACACUUAGCACAAUGCCAGAUGCAGAAGGGGUGUCCAAUGAAUGUUAGCUGUGCUUGUCAUCGUUGCAUCAGUAUUCCAAAGCCUGGGCUGUUAAGCAACUUCCCAGCCUGCUGUGGGGGAGGUGCCUUCUGGAGUCAAUGUGUGUUCCCUGGACGGACAGGAAAAGAGAUUUUACAUGACCAGUUCCAAUGUUCCUGGUAAAUAGUCUUCAAACGCACGCACGGCGGGAGGAGAGCCAGGCGCCGUGUCCUCUGGUUUCCAGCACUGCAGGCCCCUGCUCGGUCCUUCCUCUCUGGAGGUCUUGGGUCCUCAAGAUACUGAACAAACACACUGACUCUGAGAUGAUUCCUAAACGUUAGCAUCUACUGGGUGCUACUACAUUCCUCAGGGGACGGGCCCAGGAGGAAGCAGGCUUCCCACUGGAGAGUGGCUGGGGCAGCUCAGCGCUCACUCAGGGCAGCCUUCCUAGGAGCUCCUUCUGCCUCCUUUUCCCAUGAACCAGCCUGAAGAAGAGGGUAUUUCCGGGAAACCCCAGCUGCCUUUGCUUUGGAGAGCCACUUCCAUCAGCGAGGGGUCCUGCGAGUCCCGCUGCCCUCAGGCCUCAUGCAGGCGCUUUCUGGUUUUGUGUCCAGAUGUUUCUGAUACAUGUGUGCAUGCAGCUGUGUGUGUGUUUCUGUGGGCCCAAGUGGAGCAGCGCUGGCAUGGGCGGAGGGUUGGCAGCAACAUCUCCAGGACACCUUUUACCCAUUACAUUCCUCGCCUGGGCGGGGCGCCUUCCUGCUGGCUUAAAAACUGUCACCAGAAGCCCUGGAUGAAAAAUACAGCUUCUGAUUCAUGCGCACAGUCGGGAAGCAUCCCUUGCUCAGUACAGAAACUUGUCGGUCAACCUGGGGAAGGAAUCACCACCACGAAAUGUGCUUUGGCUUGCCAAAGCUCAGGAGCUUCCAGAGCCAAAACCCCAGCUGCCUGGAUUGUCUGGAGAAGGUGGGGGCUGGGGCGAGGGUGGGAGGAGGGGUGGGGAGAAAGCAGGGCUCUCUGAAUCACCUGAUUUCUACCCCCCAAUUCCGUCCUGUUUAAUUCCAAGCUAAACCCACCUCCAAAUAUCUAAUGGGCCAAUUGAUCCUAAAAACCGCGUUGAGCACUACCCCUUCCAGCUCUGUGCCUGCUGGCAAGGUGAAGCAGAUGGCUUCUAUCGAUAAAUGUAUUUACUUGGAAGGGGCUGCUUGAAGUCAGGAAAUGCCAGGGAGACGAGUGUGCGUGGCUCUGGCCAGAAUUGCCGUGAAUAUCAUAAGCAGACACCCAGACAGUGUCAGGUUGAAAGAAAUCGCAGCUAAGCCCCAGGAACCUGGGGCAUUUUCCAUCCUUCUCCCGUCUGGCCUCCUUGUCAGCCGUACACUUAUGAAGAAAUACCUCAUUUGGUUCAACAUUCUGUGGUAUUCAAAGGUUUGUAUGAGCCAUGGAGGGCCCGCUUUCUCAAAAGGGGUUCAUAAACCAAACAGGCCUGUCACUUGGACCUCAUCCUGAGGCCCUCAUUAUCUAGACAGACCCAAACAGAAACUCCCACUGCCUUGGAGCCCAGCACAUAAAAUCCUCUUUAAUAAACACACACCAUUUUUUUUUUCCAGUGGAACGGCCUCAAGGUGUUAAAAGUACAUAAAGGUCUGAAAGCUGAAACCCUAGAUAAACAGUGUGCCGAAAUAUAUUUAGCAGAAAAUAUUGAAAGCCACAGGAAAAGUAUGUUCUCUUCCUGGGAUGUUAACAAAGGUUUAGGUUCAGGAAACCUUCAGGAAAUAGCGCGUUGGGUUGAGGAGGACUACUGCUCAAUGUAAAUAAAUCACUAAACCUCUUUGGCCUCCGUAA